Small nuclear RNA from Heterocephalus glaber (naked mole-rat), 160 nucleotides. Its record names the gene U2. It matches the Rfam family "U2 spliceosomal RNA". Rfam says of the family: U2 is a small nuclear RNA (snRNA) component of the spliceosome (involved in pre-mRNA splicing). Complementary binding between U2 snRNA (in an area lying towards the 5' end but 3' to hairpin I) and the branchpoint sequence (BPS) of the intron results the bulging out of an unpaired adenosine, on the BPS, which initiates a nucleophilic attack at the intronic 5' splice site, thus starting the first of two transesterification reactions that mediate splicing. The record is from Ensembl. NCBI's taxonomy places the organism in Eukaryota, Metazoa, Chordata, Mammalia, Rodentia, Bathyergidae.
AUCGCUUCUCAGCCUUUUGGCUAAGAUCAAGUGUAGUAUAGUGAAAUUCCACCUGGGUAAAUAUAUAGCUUCCUAUUCUUGUCCCUGAAGGAUUUACACAUAUAUGAAGUCAUUCUGAUCUCACUCUGUUUAGCAACAUAUCAUUUCUAACAUAAAACCA